Molecule: microRNA precursor, 102 nt
Filed under: Marmota monax (woodchuck)
Lineage: Eukaryota; Metazoa; Chordata; Mammalia; Rodentia; Sciuridae
Source: RNAcentral
AGUGGGAUAGCUGGGUCAAAUGGUGGUUCCAUUCUAUUUUCCAAGGAAUCUCUAUACUGCUUUCCAUAUUGGUUGCACCAAUUUGCAGUCCCCACCAGCAAU